GAUGACCUAAAAUUUAACUGUCAAUCCUAGAUAAGUCAUCCACAUUAUAUUUUAAUCUUUUUCAAAUCUAUCACAUGGAUUAUCCAGACUUAGAUUUUGCUAAAUUAAAAUACAUUGAUACAUUAACUUCUACUAAUUUGGAGGGGUCAAUCCCAUCUUGACUCACACACCGACUUGACAAGUACUUAUUGCACUCAGAAACCUUCUAUUAUUGAAUUAAAAACUCAGUUAGUCUGACAUCAAAGUAUAAUGAGUUACUUGCAAAUCACCAUGAUGAUCU
This 280-nucleotide long non-coding RNA is filed under the name Elaeis guineensis (African oil palm). RNAcentral describes it as "long non-coding RNA (EGUI_LNC055756)". The record is from RNAcentral. Lineage: Eukaryota; Viridiplantae; Streptophyta; Magnoliopsida; Arecales; Arecaceae.